UAGACCUUGGACUAAUGAGCAAGUUCUGUUAAUGGUGAUUUCCCUGUUCUUAAUCAGAAUAUGGAGAAAGGGCUGACUGAAGGGGGAGAAUCAGUUAUCUGCUGAAGAUUCAGAAAAGCUAAAAUAUCUACCCUCGAUAUUUACCCUCCUUGCCGUGACCAACCUGGGAUCAGAUAAAGAUGAAGUGCUGGCAGGGGUAUUCAGAUUGGUGCAUCACUGAAAUAUCACCAGUACAAAAAUCUGCUACAGUGCGCUCCAUCCUUAUCCCCUCCUUUUUGCCCUGGAUAAACUUCACCCUAUCUGACUAGGCUCUGUGUAAUUGCGUGGAUCUUCUGGAGGGAGCCACAGCUGCACCUAGUAUUCAUAGUUAUCCUUGUUGCAAGAUCAAAAAUCCAGCCCCUUGAUCCUUUCACUGCCUAUAUAAAGAGCAAACCAUGGGGGAAAGGAGCAGGAGCAGAGGAGUAAUCCUUGUCUCAGUUCUUGAUCACCAUGUGUAGCUUCAGUUAGUUGUAUUGUGUUCCCUUCCUCCAAAAUCAUAACCUGGACACGCCCAAAUCCAUUAAUCAAGGCACUGAACACCUGCAGAUCCUCCACUUCACCGUGGCCAGGUAUGCUUAGAAAGUUUCUCACCCGUAUGGCUUGUGUUCCAUGCUCUGUAUUGAUCAGUGAAGCUGAUCAAGUGGUUUGUUCAAGCUUUACCACCAUACGUUGAGUAGAACAUGGUCGCGCCGUCGCAGUCGGGCGCCGAGGACAGCCUCGGUGUGAACUAUAUCAACCACGCCAGUUCCCGAGCGAUUGCAUGCGCGCACCGUAGACUCGAGAGGUCUCUAAAGCUCCCUGGCCCGUUUGUUUGAACACUACCGUGCGGUGAUCGGGGAAUUAAGUUCGUCAAAUCCAGUGCUCUGCCGUCGCUGUCGAUAGAUGGGUUGUGGAGUUCUCACGGAUCGAUUGAGCCCAUACCCGAGUUCACUGCGAUUCGGGGUUCACGUGGGUACCAUCGCCGUCGCCGGUGUUGCGCCACCAUGGCCGAGCUGGCACUGGGUCACCGGAGUCCGAGCGGGCAGUGUCGGGGCCGAGUGCUUGUAAAAGAGUGGUAGCCGAGGGGUUUUAGCGAAGAUGUCAGAGACACAAGCAACAGUGGCUGGGAGCUCGGAUUAUUUUAACCAGAGCGCAAGGUCCUUUGUGCAAGAUGGCCAAAGCGGGCGCGGGCUCCUGGGUUUGGGCCAGCUUUGCCUGGUUGUUGGGUCGCGCCAGCAAUUUGGGGCCCAACACUGUUGACAGCCUUGUCUUUUCUUUUAUCAAGAGCUUAUAAAUUAUGUUAGAAAUCACAGAAAAAUUCCAAAAAUAGUUAUUAAAUCCUUACUUAAUUAUGGAACUAAGUGCUUUUGGGGCAGAGGCAUGUUGAUCUAGUGAGAUCUUGACCCUUGGAUGAAGUUACUUAUGGAGUUUUAAGCUUUUGCUUGAGACCUUGGUUGGGGUAAUUCCCUGGUUUACCCAAGUGAUUUCAUUUUGGUCACUUUAAUCGAGCGAUAAGAAAUAGGUGUAUUCUUGUCAUGUGCUUUAGUUGUAGUGUUUCUGUUCUCCACCUCUCCUUGUGAUAGUUUGCAUUACAUGGCAUUCAUUCUUAUAUAUAUACCUAUAUGGUUAUAUUUAGAAAACGGAGAAGAGGGUGAAGUGACUGAAGAAAAGACAUCACCACCUUUGGAAUCUCAGGCAGAGACUUGGCUCUACUUCGACAUCUGCGAGUCCGAGCCUGACUCACCUACUAACAAAGGCAAGCCCCGGUGCAUGCAACCUCUUUCCUUGUGUUUUUAAAUACUUUUCGCACACUUAAGUCUAGUGAAAUGUACAUUAGGUUCAUAGGAGUUACUUGAAACCCUUUGAUGCAUUGCUUUUCCUUGAUAUCCAUACCUUUAUAGAUACUUCUGUGAAGUAUCAAAAUUAUGAUUUACAAAAAUGCUUAGCCUUGCUUAGAUCUUGUGGAUAGAGGUUGUCCUCAAUUUAACCCGGGAGAGGAUGGCUUCUACCUGCAAGUAUAUUUUCAUUUGGAGCAAUAGUGGGAUCUUACUGCAAAGUUCCCUGUGAUGCUCUUUCAUCCUAAGGAACAGACACAAUCCUAAGGAUGGAAAUACUUAAAUUGAGACUUGGGUUAGGAACCGGUGAUGUUCUACCCAGGUUGGUUAAGGAUUAACGCGUAUGUAGGCGUGCUGACCGAGGACCCUUUAACUGGUCACAUGCCUCGUCAUGGGUAAGCCUUGCCUCGGGCAGACUAAGGCCGGAAUAAGAUAACACGAAAUGGGCGUGGAGCGGUGGCGAGAGUAGCGUGUACCCUCCGUGGCAAGAGGCUGGACGGUGGUGUAUCUGUGCUCUCGGUUUGCGUGAACCUGAUCCGGUCUUAAGAACCCCGGUGGCGGGUUGACAUAUGCAAGGGUUAAGUGCUACAUAUGUCGUGUGAUUGGAGAUCCUCAGCUGAGUAUAAUCGAUUCGGAUCGCCGUACCUUCGCGGUUAUGAAGACUUGGUCACUUCCCUGCAACCUAAAGUCAGGAUGUGAACACUAUGGAUAAAAAUGAUGUUGUCUUGAUGUGAUGUGAAAUUAGACUAGAUGCAAAUAGAGUCUAUUAAUACUUAAUAUGGCGUUAAAAGAUUGAAAGUAAGGACUCACUUUAGUAAGCUAUUUCUGCAAAAGUAUAAGUUGAUUUUUGCUAAAGCCUCUCCUUGACUCCUAUUUAUCCAGCAUACCCUUGAGAGUCUUUUCCUUAGUCGGGUAAGACUUGCUGAGUAUUCCAUACUCAGGGUUUAUCCCUUUGUUGUUUUUAGGUGAGGAAGCGACAAAUUUUUGUUGCUUUUGCUCCAAGGUGGUACCAAAUGAGGAAAAACAAGACUGAAGUGCGGGAGGACUCGGUCCUCCACUUAGGAUCUUUUGCUUAAGAACUUAUCGGGAGGAGUUUGUGCCUCCCCUGGUUUGUAUAAUGUUACUACUCUGCACUCACUUUUAGUCUGGUCUGUAAUAAAAUAACUCAAGCUUGCUUUUGAAAUAAAUGUAAGUUAUGUAAUUCGCUUCCGCA
This 3066-nucleotide long non-coding RNA is filed under the name Zea mays. RNAcentral's name for it is "long non-coding RNA (ZMAY_LNC000913)". The record is from RNAcentral. Lineage: Eukaryota; Viridiplantae; Streptophyta; Magnoliopsida; Poales; Poaceae.